This 433-nucleotide ribosomal RNA is filed under the name uncultured bacterium. RNAcentral describes it as "partial 16S ribosomal RNA". It matches the Rfam family "Bacterial small subunit ribosomal RNA", at positions 29 to 507 of the family's 1533-position model. The record is from RNAcentral.
AACGAACGCUGGCGGCAUGCCUAACACAUGCAAGUCGAACGAGACCUUCGGGUCUAGUUGCGCACGGGUGCGUAACGCGUGGGAACCUGCCCUUAGGUUCGGAAUAACUCCCCGAAAGGGGUGCUAAUACCGGUUAAUGUCUUCGGACCAAAGAUUUAUCGCCUUUGGAUGGGCCCGCGUUGGAUUAGCUAGUUGGUAGGGUAAAAGCCUACCAAGGCGACGAUCCAUAGCUGGUCUGAGAGGAUGAUCAGCCGCACUGGGACUGAGACACGGCCCAGACUCCUACGGGAGGCAGCAGUGGGGAAUAUUGGACGAUGGGCGAAAGCCUGAUCCAGCAAUGCCGCGUGAGUGAUGAAGGCCUUAGGGUUGUAAAGCUCUUUUACCCGGGAUGAUAAUGACAGUACCGGGAGAAUAAGCUCCGGCUAACUCCGUG